UGAUCCUGGCUCAGAUUGAACGCUGGCGGUAGGCUUAACACAUGCAAGUCGUGCGAGAAAGUAUCUUCGGAUAUGAGUAGAGCGGCGGACGGGUGAGUAACGCGUAGGAAUCUACCUAGUAGAAGGGGAUAGCCCGAGGAAACUCGGAUUAAUACCGUAUACCUCCUUCGGGAGAAAGAAGGCCUCUCAUUGAAGCUUUCGCUACUAGAUGAGCCUGCGUAAGAUUAGCUUGUUAGUGAGGUAAAGGCUCACCAAGGCAACGAUCUUUAGCGGGUCUGAGAGGACGAUCCGCCACAUUGGGACUGAGACACGGCCCAGACUCCUACGGGAGGCAGCAGUGGGGAAUAUUGGACAAUGGGCGCAAGCCUGAUCCAGCCAUACCGCGUGUGUGAAGAAGGCCCUAGGGUUGUAAAGCACUUUAAGUUGGGAAGAAAAGUUAUUGGCUAAUACCCAAUGACCGUGACAUUACCUUCAGAAUAAGGACCGGCUAAUUCCGUGCCAGCAGCCGCGGUAAUACGGAAGGUCCAAGCGUUAAUCGGAAUUACUGGGCGUAAAGCGCGCGUAGGUGGUUUAUUAAGUUGGAUGUGAAAUCCCCGGGCUCAACCUGGGAACUGCAUCCAAAACUGAUUCACUAGAGUACGAUAGAGGGAGGUAGAAUUCACAGUGUAGCGGUGGAAUGCGUAGAUAUUGUGAAGAAUACCAAUGGCGAAGGCAGCCUCCUGGAUCUGUACUGACACUGAGGUGCGAAAGCGUGGGUAGCGAACAGGAUUAGAUACCCUGGUAGU
This 785-nucleotide ribosomal RNA is filed under the name uncultured marine bacterium. RNAcentral describes it as "bacterial SSU rRNA". It matches the Rfam family "Bacterial small subunit ribosomal RNA", at positions 14 to 794 of the family's 1533-position model. The record is from RNAcentral.